Molecule: ribosomal RNA, 278 nt
Filed under: uncultured bacterium
Lineage: Bacteria
Description: partial 16S ribosomal RNA
Rfam family: Bacterial small subunit ribosomal RNA
Source: RNAcentral
CGGAGUUGGCGGACGGGGUGAGGUUAAAUGGUCUUGGGGAAAACGUUGGACCCCGGGUUGGGAGGGGGGAUAACUACUGGAAACGGUAGCUAAUACCGCAUAACGUCGCAAGACCAAAGAGGGGGACCUUCGGGCCUCUUGCCACCGGAUGUGCCCAGAUGGGAUUAGCUUGUUGGUGAGGUAACGGCUCACCAAGGCGACGAUCCCUAGCUGGUCUGAGAGGAUGACCAGCCACACUGGAACUGAGACACGGUCCAGACUCCUACGGAAGGCAGCAG